This 1052-nucleotide long non-coding RNA is filed under the name Bos indicus x Bos taurus (hybrid cattle). RNAcentral describes it as "lncRNA (ENSBIXG00000010358.1)". Lineage: Eukaryota; Metazoa; Chordata; Mammalia; Artiodactyla; Bovidae. The record is from RNAcentral.
GAGGCGAUUCAUGAUCCGGGUGGGACAGAGCGGGAUGGUACGAGAUCUCAUCAGGCUACUCAGAACAUCACACAAUUUAAAACUUGUGAAUUGUUUGUUUCUGUAAUUUUCCAUUUAAUAUUUUUGGAUUGCAGUUGACCAUGGGGGUAACUGAAAUCACAGUGAAACCUUGGCAGCAGCAGGGGAGGGACCACUGCAACGUCAGAAAUCUUUCUUGCUUGCAGUUAUCCAGGACUUGACUUCCUCUGCUCUUGGACCCUAUGAAGAAGCUGGAUCAUGACUCUGGAAGGGGGUGGUUGGAACUCAGGGUGAAAAUGAAGAGGCUGGCAAGCUGCCACUUGAGAGAAGAUGCACAGAGUCUUGAAGAUUUGAACCAGACUAUACCAGGAGCUGUCCCAUUUUAUUGUUCUGCUGACAUGAUUGAAGGCAGGAGGAGAAGGGGAUGACAGAGGAUGAGAUGGUUGGAUGGCAUCACUCACUCGAUGGACAUGAGUUUGAGCAAGCUCUGGGAGUUGGUGAUGGACAGGGAAGCCUGGUGUGCUGCAGUCCAUGGGGUCACAGAGUCAGACACGACUGAGCGACUGAACCGAACUGAACUGUGCACUCGAAUGCUGAGUGCUUCUUGCAUACGUAUAAUUUACUCGGUGCAAGAAAGAAUUGAAAUAAGAUGGGUGGCACAAACCAGCUUUAAAGAAUAUUGAAGGAAUGGAGACACUCUAGGAUUUUCACAUACAUCAGAUAACAAGAACAUAAAAUAAGAGGUAAGCAGUGUUUUUUUUUUUUUUAAGGACGAGGUGGACUAUUGGAAAGGACCUCUCCAUAGACUAAGGGAAAAGUUUCAUAAAUGAUGGGAAACUGCUAUGAAAGUUGAAGAAUAAGGAGAAUUUGGAUGAGUCAGAAAUUAAGUGGAAGAAAUGACAGGGAAUGAGACCAACAAGAGUCAAGGCAGAGUUAGGAAUAGAAUGGGCAGCAGAUUAGUAAGAGCAGAGAAGGUGGUUUGUGUGGAAAGAAGGAGGAGUUAUUCACAUGAAAAAGAAGGUUGGAACUGAUUU